AACUGGUCUGAUGAUAGUGGGUUAUCAGAAUUUAUUAUCAUUAGUGCCACUGAAGUUGGUAUACAACCCUCCACUGCUAAAUUUGACUGGCUUAAA
Nomascus leucogenys (northern white-cheeked gibbon) is the source of this 96-nucleotide unclassified non-coding RNA. It matches the Rfam family "Y RNA". Rfam says of the family: Y RNAs are components of the Ro ribonucleoprotein particle (Ro RNP), in association with Ro60 and La proteins. The Y RNAs and Ro60 and La proteins are well conserved, but the function of the Ro RNP is not known. The record is from Ensembl. NCBI's taxonomy places the organism in Eukaryota, Metazoa, Chordata, Mammalia, Primates, Hylobatidae.